Molecule: ribosomal RNA, 279 nt
Filed under: uncultured bacterium
Lineage: Bacteria
Description: partial 16S ribosomal RNA
Rfam family: Bacterial small subunit ribosomal RNA
Source: RNAcentral
UGCCAGCAGCCGCGGUAAUACGGAGGGGGCUAGCGUUGUUCGGAAUUACUGGGCGUAAAGCGCACGUAGGCGGUUCGUUAAGUCUGAUGUGAAAGCCCGGGGCUCAACCCCGGAAGUGCAUUGGAAACUGGCGAACUUGAGUACGGGAGAGGAAAGUGGAAUUCCGAGUGUAGGGGUGAAAUCCGUAGAUAUUCGGAGGAACACCAGUGGCGAAGGCGGCUUUCUGGACCGAUACUGACGCUGAGACGCGAAAGCGUGGGGAGCAAACAAGAUUAGAUA